UCGCAUCUGUGCAUGCAGCAUAUCAAUAAGCGGAGGAAAAGAAACUAACAAGGAUUCCCUUAGUAACGGCGAGUGAAGCGGGAAGAGCUCAAAUUUGAAAUCUUCAAGGUUUUACCUUGACGAAUUGUAGUUUAAAGAAGUGUUUUCUGUUGAAGUUUUGGUAAAAGUUCUUUGGAAUAGGACAUCAUAGAGGGUGAGAAUCCCGUAUUUGACCAUUAUUUUCAGCUGUGUGAUACACUUUCAAAGAGUCGGAUUGUUUGGGAAUGCAGUCCAAAAUGGGUGGUAAAUUUCAUCUAAAGCUAAAUAUUGGCGAGAGACCGAUAGCGAACAAGUACCGUGAGGGAAAGAUGAAAAGAACUUUGAAAAGAGAGUUAAACAGUACGUGAAAUUGUCAAAAGGGAAGCGUUUGACACCAGUGUUGUUUUCUCGAAAAUCAAUUAAAAAGAGUUUGAUUUUGUUGUGUAUUGACCUUAACAGCUUGCAUUUCAAUUUUCUUGCUUUUUUUAAUGCACUUUUCGUUCAACAAGUCAACAUCAGUUUCUUUUGUUGUAAAAAGGUCAUUGGAGGGUGGCUUUCUUUUCGGAGAAAGUGUUUAUAGCCUUUGACUCCUGCAAUCGGAGAGACUGAGGUCUGCAGCGUAGAUCCUUCGGGGUUAGAUACAUUUGUGCUAAGUUAUAGCUUUUUAUAGACAACUUGUUGACUAUGAUUAGUCUUGUAGCUUACUCGCUUAUGCUAUUUUACCUACGCUUAGGAUGUUGACACACGCGCGUGCUCG
RNAcentral lists this ribosomal RNA (775 nucleotides) under uncultured Neocallimastigales. Its description in RNAcentral is "partial large subunit ribosomal RNA". It matches the Rfam family "Eukaryotic large subunit ribosomal RNA", at positions 24 to 644 of the family's 3401-position model. Lineage: Eukaryota; Fungi; Neocallimastigomycota; Neocallimastigomycetes; Neocallimastigales. The record is from RNAcentral.